This 253-nucleotide ribosomal RNA is filed under the name uncultured bacterium. RNAcentral's name for it is "partial 16S ribosomal RNA". It matches the Rfam family "Bacterial small subunit ribosomal RNA", at positions 524 to 776 of the family's 1533-position model. The record is from RNAcentral.
UACGGAGGAUGCAAGCGUUAUCCGGAAUUAUUGGGCGUAAAGCGUCCGCAGAUGGUUGUUCAAGUCUAUUGUCAAAGCGCGGGGCUUAACCUCGUACAGGCAGUGGAAACUGAGCGACUAGAGUUCGGUAGGGGUCAGGGGAAUUCCCAGUGUAGCGGUGAAAUGCGUAGAUAUUGGGAAGAACACCAGCGGCGAAAGCGCCUGACUGGGCCUGAACUGACAUUCAUGGACGAAAGCUAGGGGAGCGAAAGGG